This 25-nucleotide unclassified non-coding RNA is filed under the name Mus musculus (house mouse). RNAcentral describes it as "piRNA piR-mmu-68193234". Lineage: Eukaryota; Metazoa; Chordata; Mammalia; Rodentia; Muridae. The record is from RNAcentral.
AUGUUCUUUACUGGUUUGCCUCCCA